AUUGAACGCUGGCGGCAGGCCUAACACAUGCAAGUCGAGCGGUAACAGGGGUAGCUUGCUACCCGCUGACGAGCGGCGGACGGGUGAGUAAUGCAUAGGAGUCUGCCCGAUAGUGGGGGAUAACCUGGGGAAACCCAGGCUAAUACCGCAUACGUCCUACGGGAGAAAGGGGGCUCCGGCUCCCGCUAUCGGAUGAGCCUAUGUCGGAUUAGCUGGUUGGUGAGGUAACGGCUCACCAAGGCGACGAUCCGUAGCUGGUCUGAGAGGAUGAUCAGCCACAUCGGGACUGAGACACGGCCCGAACUCCUACGGGAGGCAGCAGUGGGGAAUAUUGGACAAUGGGGGGAACCCUGAUCCAGCCAUGCCGCGUGUGUGAAGAAGGCCCUCGGGUUGUAAAGCACUUUCAGUGAGGAAGAACGCCUGGUGGUUAAUACCCAUCAGGAAAGACAUCACUCACAGAAGAAGCACCGGCUAACUCCGUGCCAGCAGCCGCGGUAAUACGGAGGGUGCGAGCGUUAAUCGGAAUUACUGGGCGUAAAGCGCGCGUAGGUGGCUUGAUAAGCCGGUUGUGAAAGCCCCGGGCUCAACCUGGGAACGGCAUCCGGAACUGUCAAGCUAGAGUGCAGGAGAGGAAGGUAGAAUUCCCGGUGUAGCGGUGAAAUGCGUAGAGAUCGGGAGGAAUACCAGUGGCGAAGGCGGCCUUCUGGACUGACACUGACACUGAGGUGCGAAAGCGUGGGUAGCAAACAGG
This 751-nucleotide ribosomal RNA is filed under the name uncultured Halomonas sp. RNAcentral describes it as "bacterial SSU rRNA". It matches the Rfam family "Bacterial small subunit ribosomal RNA", at positions 28 to 776 of the family's 1533-position model. The record is from RNAcentral. Lineage: Bacteria; Pseudomonadati; Pseudomonadota; Gammaproteobacteria; Oceanospirillales; Halomonadaceae.